This 715-nucleotide ribosomal RNA is filed under the name uncultured beta proteobacterium. Its description in RNAcentral is "bacterial SSU rRNA". It matches the Rfam family "Bacterial small subunit ribosomal RNA", at positions 64 to 774 of the family's 1533-position model. The record is from RNAcentral. Lineage: Bacteria; Pseudomonadati; Pseudomonadota; Betaproteobacteria.
GAACGGCAGCACGGGAGCAAUCCUGGUGGCGAGUGGCGAACGGGUGAGUAAUAUAUCGGAACGUGCCCAGUAGUGGGGGAUAGCCCGGCGAAAGCCGGAUUAAUACCGCAUACGACCUACGGGUGAAAGCGGGGGAUCGCAAGACCUCGCGCUAUUGGAGCGGCCGAUAUCAGAUUAGCUUGUUGGUGGGGUAAAAGCCUACCAAGGCGACGAUCUGUAGCUGGUCUGAGAGGACGACCAGCCACACUGGGACUGAGACACGGCCCAGACUCCUACGGGAGGCAGCAGUGGGGAAUUUUGGACAAUGGGCGCAAGCCUGAUCCAGCCAUGCCGCGUGUGGGAAGAAGGCCUUCGGGUUGUAAACCACUUUUGUCAGGGAAGAAACGGUUCUUACUAAUAUUAAGAACUAAUGACGGUACCUGAAGAAUAAGCACCGGCUAACUACGUGCCAGCAGCCGCGGUAAUACGUAGGGUGCAAGCGUUAAUCGGAAUUACUGGGCGUAAAGCGUGCGCAGGCGGCUUUGCAAGACAGAUGUGAAAUCCCCGGGCUCAACCUGGGAACUGCAUUUGUGACUGCAUGGCUAGAGUACGGUAGAGGGGGAUGGAAUUCCGCGUGUAGCAGUGAAAUGCGUAGAUAUGCGGAGGAACACCGAUGGCGAAGGCAAUCCCCUGGACCUGUACUGACGCUCAUGCACGAAAGCGUGGGGAGCAAACA